CUGGUCUUCAGGAUCCAGACCUGAGAGGGGGUUCUGGUCAGGUCUGGUCUUCAGGAUCCAGACCUGAGAGGGGGUUCUGGUCAGAGGGGUUCUGGUCGGGUCUGGUCUUCAGGAUCCAGACCUGAGAGGGGGUUCUGGUCAGAGGGGUUCUGGUCAGAGAGGGUUCUGGUCAGGUCUGGUCUUCAGGAUCCAGACCUAAGAGGGGGUUCUGGUCAGAGGGGUUCUGGUCAGAGAGGGUUCUGGUCGGGUCUGGUCUUCAGGAUCCAGACCUAAGAGGGGGUUCUGGUCAGAGGGGUUCUGGUCAGAGGGGUUCUGGUCGGGUCUGGUCUUCAGGAUCCAGACCUGAGAGGGGGUUCUGGUCAGAGGGGUUCUGGUCAGAGGGGUUCUGGUCAGAGAGGGUUCUGGUCAGAGAGGGUUCUGGUCGGGUCUGGUCUUCAGGAGUCACCUGGUUAAUCAAAGGGGGGGCGGAGUGUUUUCAGACCACGGUCCGCUUUAAUGUCAGACAUUAUCUUCAUGGACCGGCCCGAUUGAAGAUGAGGGGAUUCCUUAACUGUUGAGGUUCAUCUUUAUCCUCUAAAAUAUUUGCAGCUGCUUCAAACUUAAUCGAUCCUGGACUAAAAUGUUGAGAUCAACCUGAAUCUGAUCUGUUUAGAGUGAAUGAUUGUUAAAUUCUCACUUUAGUGAUUCUGCUUUCUGAUCUUUUGUUUUUCGUCCGUACGCUUUUUGGUACAUAAAAACUAGAAACACUUUCAACAAUUUCUAAAAUCUUGGUAUCAAAACGUUCAGCUCGUUAAGGACAUUAUCGGUUGUAUUUUUGGUUUGCUUAAAUUUUACGAUUUUUAAGAUUUUACGCAAUUUAAGCAAUUUUUUUCAGUACAAUUGAAAUGAAUGGGGAUUCCUGCAAUUUAUGCACUUAAAAACUUUCAGCAUGUUCAGGAAAUUCAUGCUUUUACAUUUGGAUUGUUAAACUUUACACUAAUAUUGAAACUUAAUGAAAUUGUA
Oryzias melastigma (Indian medaka) is the source of this 1002-nucleotide long non-coding RNA. RefSeq lists it as uncharacterized. The record is from RefSeq and is a predicted model, not a curated record. The transcript is spliced from 2 exons. Lineage: Eukaryota; Metazoa; Chordata; Actinopteri; Beloniformes; Adrianichthyidae.